Molecule: small nucleolar RNA, 59 nt
Filed under: Pyrobaculum neutrophilum V24Sta
Lineage: Archaea; Thermoproteati; Thermoproteota; Thermoprotei; Thermoproteales; Thermoproteaceae
Description: PNEsR138
Source: RNAcentral
CUGAUGACUCCUUCCGCUGUUGAGAAAUGAUAUAAAGGGGUGCGCCGCAUAUGCCGUGA